GGGGAUAUAACUCAGUUGGUAGAGUACUUGCCUUGCAUGCAUAAGGCCCUGGGUUCAAUCCCCAACACCACCA
Molecule: transfer RNA, 73 nt
Filed under: Ictidomys tridecemlineatus (thirteen-lined ground squirrel)
Lineage: Eukaryota; Metazoa; Chordata; Mammalia; Rodentia; Sciuridae
Description: Spermophilus tridecemlineatus (thirteen-lined ground squirrel) tRNA
Rfam family: tRNA
About the family: Transfer RNA (tRNA) molecules are approximately 80 nucleotides in length. Their secondary structure includes four short double-helical elements and three loops (D, anti-codon, and T loops).
Source: Rfam by way of RNAcentral